UUCACCCGUGUCUUUUGCGUACUUCUUGUUUCCUUGGUGGGUUCGCCCACCAUAGGACAAACCAUAAACCUUUUGUAAUUGCAAUCAGCGUCAGUAAAAAAAUUAAUAAUUACAACUUUUAACAACGGAUCUCUUGGUUCUGGCAUCGAUGAAGAACGCAGCGAAAUGCGAUAAGUAGUGUGAAUUGCAGAAUUCAGUGAAUCAUCGAAUCUUUGAACGCACAUUGCGCCCUUUGGUAUUCCAAAGGGCAUGCCUGUUCGAGCGUCAUUUGUACCCUCAAGCUUUGCUUGGUGUUGGGCGUCUUGUCUCCAGUUCGCUGGAGACUCGCCUUAAAGUAAUUGGCAGCCGGCCUACUGGUUUCGGAGCGCAGCACAAGUCGCGCUCUCUUCCAGCCAAGGUCAGCAUCCACAAAGCCUUUUUUCAACUUUUGACCUCGGAUCAGGUAGGGAUACCCGCUGAACUUAAGCAUAUCAAGUGGGG
Molecule: ribosomal RNA, 480 nt
Filed under: Alternaria multiformis
Lineage: Eukaryota; Fungi; Ascomycota; Dothideomycetes; Pleosporales; Pleosporaceae
Description: eukaryotic LSU rRNA
Rfam family: 5.8S ribosomal RNA (bases 114-267)
Source: RNAcentral